RNAcentral lists this ribosomal RNA (207 nucleotides) under uncultured delta proteobacterium. RNAcentral's name for it is "partial 16S ribosomal RNA". It matches the Rfam family "Bacterial small subunit ribosomal RNA", at positions 568 to 774 of the family's 1533-position model. The record is from RNAcentral. Lineage: Bacteria; Deltaproteobacteria.
AGUGUAGGCGGUCCGAAAAGUCGGGUGUGAAAGCCCUGGGCUCAACCCAGGAAGUGCACUCGAAACUGCCGGGCUAGAGUACUGGAGAGGUUGGUGGAAUUCUCGGUGUAGAGGUGAAAUUCGUAGAUAUCGAGAGGAACACCGGUGGCGAAGGCGGCCAACUGGACAGAUACUGACGCUGAGACUCGAAAGCGUGGGGAGCAAACA